UACAGGGGGUGCAAACGUUGCUCGGAAUUAUUGGGCGUAAAGCGCGCGUAGGCGGCCGCUUAAGUCGGAUGUGAAAGCCCCUGGCUCAACUGGGGAAGUGCACCCGAAACUGAGUGGCUUGAGUACUAAAGAGGGUCGCGGAAUUCCCGGUGUAGAGGUGAAAUUCGUAGAUCUCGAGAGGAACACCAAUGGCGAAGGCAGCUUCUUGGUCCAUUUCUGACGUUCAUGCACGAAAGCGUGGGGAGCAAACAGG
This 253-nucleotide ribosomal RNA is filed under the name uncultured bacterium. RNAcentral's name for it is "partial 16S ribosomal RNA". It matches the Rfam family "Bacterial small subunit ribosomal RNA", at positions 524 to 776 of the family's 1533-position model. The record is from RNAcentral.